AUGCGGGAUGGGUGUGGAAAGAAAAUAAUUUUCAAAAGUGCCCCUCGGCCGCCUGCGAAGGCAGAGGUGUCUCCGUGCGUGUGUGUGUGUGCGCCCCGGGAGGGAGGGACGGGGCGAGCACGGGAGAAACUUUUCCCCGCCCGUUUCCACUCCGCCGCCCCCUGCGGCCGAGGCAGUGCCGUGAGUGCGGGGCUCCGCCGCCCCCGCUCGGCAGAAGGGGAAGGGGUGCCUGGGGGAGGCUGUGGCAGCCCGCCGAGGGCGGGCAGGGAGCGGGAUGCACGCCCGUCGAGGCGGGGCGGGCCGCCCGGGAAAGCCGCGCUCUACCCGCCGCCCGUCACUGAGGGACGGCGCAGUGCCUGCCAGGCUCCGCGAGGAGCGCCUUCAAUGAUUUCGGUGUUGGUACAGCCACUUUGCUUGCUCAGAGGGCUAAAAGGUCUCAUCUGCUGUUCAAAGACGUGUGUGAAAUUUCCUGCACGAUGCAGUGUGAAACAAGCAGAGAGAGAAUAAGCAGGGGAGCCAGAUGAGAGCAUGGUGCCACAGCAGCUGUGUAUGGAAAAAAAAAUCAGGCAGCGGUUUGGAUACUGAGGUCUUCAGAGAAUACCAAAUGGAGGACGUACAGUAGUUGGCCUCUGCUACCAGUUCCUAGUUGGACAGCGGAAAAAAAACUCCAAGAGCAACUGAAAUGAGAACACAAUAAAACCUUAAAUCACUGUAGGCUCGGUACCUCA
RNAcentral lists this long non-coding RNA (728 nucleotides) under Anser cygnoides (Swan goose). Its description in RNAcentral is "lncRNA (ENSACDG00005016596.1)". The record is from RNAcentral. Lineage: Eukaryota; Metazoa; Chordata; Aves; Anseriformes; Anatidae.